Molecule: long non-coding RNA, 2668 nt
Organism: Mustela putorius furo (domestic ferret)
Lineage: Eukaryota; Metazoa; Chordata; Mammalia; Carnivora; Mustelidae
Source: Ensembl
GGGACUCGAUCCCAGGACCCUGAGAUCAUGACCUGAGCCGAAGGCAGCGGCUUAACCCACUGAGCCACCCAGGCGCCCCACUAAUGGUAUUGUUAAGCAAAAUUUGUAGAGGCUCUUCCAAUAAUCCCACCAAAAGCACUGCCAUUAGUUUUCCUACAUUUUAGAUCUACCUCUUUGGAACCUAUAAACUCUUACCUUUUGAGAUAAUCACAGGAUGGCCAAUGGCGGGCUUCUUUCGAUCUACAAAUGGUAAAAGGAGAUAUACUUAAAUAUUGCAUAGGCCCAAUUGCUUCUGUUGAGAAUAACCACGCUUUAGUAGAACAAUCUUUCCACAGUGCCUUCCUGGGAGACAAAGAUCUAAAGCGUCAUACCUUGCAGUCCAGAGAUUUCAUCUGUUGGAAAAGACAGCUACAGAAAGACUCUCUUCAACCCUGUGGAAAGGCCCCUUUCAGAUUUAUUUUUUAAACUAAUAAUCUCUCCACCCAACAUGGAGCUCGAACUCACAACCCCGAGAUCAAGAGUUGCACACUCCUCUGACUGAGCCAGCCAAGCAGCCUCCCGUGUGUCACAUCUAACGAAAGCACCAGACCCUGACUAGAUCUGCACAUCCCAUGAGUACCUGGAAAAAAAGAUUUCCAGGAAUUGAAGCAGACGACAGCUGAAGGAGACAGCUUUCCCAAGAUGAUUGGACCAGACCUGUAUACCUUUUUCUCGAUGUUGCUUCUUACCUUAUUUCCUCCCUUUCUUUCUAAUCUAUUGCAAAAAGGGAGCCUUUCUGGCUGUUGGAUCUGACACCAGAAACUUCGAUUUGUUCUUCCCUAUUUAUUAUUUGUUUCCCUGCAUCCAAGGGAAAUACAAAUAAGCUAACUCCUCUUUGCAAGGCUUUUUUAAAAAAGAUUUUUGUUUAUUUGAGUGAGAGAGCGCAAAAGUGAGUGAGCAGGGAGAGGCAAAGGGGAAAGGAAAAGGAAUCUAAAGCAGAAUCUGCACUGAAUAUGGAGCCCUACUCGGGGCUGGAUCCCAUAACUGCAAGAUCAUGACCAGAGCCAAAACCAAGAGUCUGAUGCUCAACCAACUGAGCCAUGUAGGUGCCCCUGCAAGGCUUUUGGAAAAGACCCCUUUAGCCUUGCAGAAGUUCUGCUCAUCUUGUUCUGUGUAAUCUUUUUUUUUUUUUAAAGAUUUUAUUUAUUUAUUUGACAGAGAUCACAAGUAGGCAGAGAGGUAGGCAGAGAAAGAGGAGGAAGCAGGCUCCCUGCUGAGCAGAGAGCCCGAUGCGAGGCUUGAUCCCAGGACCCUGGGAUCAUGACCUGAACUGAAGGCAGAGGCUUUAACCCACUGAGCCACCCAGGUGCCCCUGUAUAAUUGUUUUUUAAAAGAUUUUAUUUUUAAAUAAUCUCUACACCCAGUGUGGGGUUCAAACUUACAACCUUGAGAUCAAGAGUCAGACUCUCAACUGACAAAGCCACCCAGGCACACCUUUAUAAUCAGUUUUAAGCCUUAUACCUAUUGCCUCUCAAACAUUCGUAGAAAUAACGUGCCCAGUAGGGUCAUGCUAGCUCAGCACUUUGAGAUAAUCUUCAACAUUUAUCUCAGACGGGAAAUGCCUGACAGUUCUCCCUCCUCCUCUUCCCUGUUACUCAAAUGUGACUUCACCGGUUUCCAUUCUACACACUUUCCCUCCCAUGGGGGACAUGACCACCAGGAAAGAUCCUUUCUGACACCAAGGGGAUGAAAACACUAAAUAUGAAAAAAAAAAAACCCAAAAAACAAAACCACCACAACACAACCCUGACUUUUGAUUAGCAGUGCUUUUGAGAAAGACCUUGAUCAAAAGGGGGAGAUGUGAAAAUAAAGGAAACUUUAUUUAAAAUGGAGUCAGGAAGCCCCGAAGGGGGAGCUCUCAUGCAUUACCUCUUGGUGGAAGAAGCAUUAUCCCACAAUUCCCAGCAGGAAGCAGCUUGCUUUUGGUAUCCCAGCCUGAGGAAGGAUGAAUUUCUCCUUGCCCAGCAACAGCCCAGUCAGUGAGAGCUCAAUGAAACAGUCCCUCCUCUUUUCCCCUGGGAAAGCAAGCCCCUCUCCUCUGUUCUCUGGGUUUGCCUAUGGAUUGCCACAGUUUGCUUGUUCUGAAUUACAAUUCCUCUGCUCUUCCUCAAUAAACUCAUUUUGCUGGUAAAAUAACGGCUCUUUUGUUUUUUAAGGUCAAUGGAAGCUGAAACCACCUGAGGUUUCUGGGAACAGACUGACGGGGUCUGAAAAACUGAGGUUUGCUGGGAAGGGAGGUGGUGUCUGGAGCUUUAAGUGUCGUUAUUGUGGGGGUUGGGAGAGAGCAAAACUCUCGCCAGUGACCCUCUUCCCACUACCCCACCCCUUUAAGCACUCAGGAUGUUAAUUGGCCUGGUGGCCUUUAUGUAAAAAUUAGUUUGCAAACUUCUGCCAGCAGAAAUCUGGGCAUAAUUAUACUGAGUUGUCCUUUUAUUUUUUUAUUGUGGGGGGGGGGAGGUACGAAUUUCAUCUAAGUUUCCUCUUUUCUGUCUUCCAUGCAGUAUUACUCAUCAGGUGGGACCAGUGGCCAGAGGUCUGCGUUUCCGCCUCCCCCAUUGCUGCUCCAUCCAUCCUGUGCCUGAAAUACAAGUAGGGUGGGUAACCACAUAGGCCCCAGUGCUCUCUAGGA